This 497-nucleotide ribosomal RNA is filed under the name uncultured bacterium. RNAcentral describes it as "partial 16S ribosomal RNA". It matches the Rfam family "Bacterial small subunit ribosomal RNA", at positions 28 to 507 of the family's 1533-position model. The record is from RNAcentral.
GAUGAACGCUGGCGGCGUGCCUAACACAUGCAAGUCGAGCGAACAGAUGAUGCGCUUGUUCCCCGGACGUUAGCUGCGGACGGGAGAGUCACACGUGGAAAACCUACCUAUAAGACUGGGAUAACUUCGGGAAACCAGAGCUAAUACCGGAUAAUAUAUCGAACCACAUGGUUCACUCGUCAAAGUCGGUUUUGCUGACACUUAUAGAUGGAUCCGCGCCGCAUUAGCUAGUAGGUAAGGUAACGGCUUACCAAGGCAACGAUGGGUAACCGACCUGAGAGCGUGGUCGACCAGACUAGAAGUGAGACAGGGUCCAGACACCUACGCGAGGAAGCAGUAGGGAAUCUUCCGCAAUGGACGAGAGCCUGACGGAGCAACGCCGCGUGAGUGAUGAAGGUGUUAGGAUCGGAGAGCGAUGUUGUUAGGGAGGAACAAAUGUGUAAGUAACUAUGAACAUCUUGACGGUACCUAAUCAAAAAGCCACGGCUAACUACGUG